CCCUUCUCUUCCUUAGCAGAGAGUCCAAAACAGCCUGCUGUUCCAAGACUUCUCCUAAAAAGUGCCAAACGCAGACAACAACGAGGAAGAAUGACACGCGUGAGUAGCAAACGCAAAGGUCCCAUUGAUGGCGUUACAUGGGAGGUAUUCACAGCACCAACGACGCUUCAUCCGUACGUCCCAACUUCUUCUUCCUCUAUCCCAUUAUGUUCUGGACAGUACUUUAGGCUUCAUCUUUUGUGCAUUUCCAGCUGCUUGUUUCGUCCCCCUUAGCGCGAGAUCUUGCCACAUCGACGCCAAGGACGGGAGAUCGAUCUUAAUCGUGCAUUCCCCUUUCCCUUUUCAGAAUAGAGUGAGAAUUUCAGAAAAAGGUUGCUUAUCCGAUUUAGUGAAGUUUUUUUUUUUUUUUGAGAAUUUGAAUUGGAAGAGAACCCCUCACUCAUCAGUUCAUACUCACCUUCUUUCAGAGUUAGAUACGAAAAAAAAAGGGGAAAAUUUUUUCUUUGAAAGAAUCACAAAUAUUAAUAAAAUUUUUCCGAAACAAUGAGCUAAAAAUUUGAGUGAAAUAUUGAGAAAAUCUUGAGAGUCUAGCUAAGUGUUAAAAAGAGGAAGCCAUUUAAAUCCGAAGUUCUUGGAGAUAUUCAUUUAAUCUCAGUUUGGUUCACUCUAUUUCAUUCAUCCAAGUCUUCUCGGAGUCAUUCUUUGGGUGCGGAAGUCGGUACUUUUCAGGCUCGCUAUCGUCCUUGUUCUUCUGCCCCUCUGAAGCCCCAAAGGGCCUAAAACGCAGUGAUAUACCAGCUGGAAUAUAGCACAGAUGGGUGCAAAAAGUGAAAAUGCAGGUGAAACGUGCAGGGACAUCGAAUUCAAAUAAAAGACAGGCUCGGAAUUCCAAAAAACCAAUAUACGUGAUGUAUACGUCAAAUAUACACUUGGUGUAUAUCAUGGAAAUGGGGACAAAAAGGGCCUAAAGCUUAAAGAAUUUUGGGCCCAAGUCCAUUUGUGAUAAUUUUAGAAUUAGGAUAGGUGGUCUAAAUGCCCAAUUUAAUGGAAUUUGGGUAAUUGAUCCAAGUUCAAAUACUCCCCUCAUUUUCCCUCUUUAUUUAUGUAUUAUUAAAUUGACUUAAACUUUGGUUGAAUUUUACUAA
Non-coding RNA from Solanum lycopersicum (tomato), 1145 nucleotides. The record is from RefSeq and is a predicted model, not a curated record. Lineage: Eukaryota; Viridiplantae; Streptophyta; Magnoliopsida; Solanales; Solanaceae.